UACGGGGGGGGCAAGCGUUGUUCGGAAUUACUGGGCGUAAAGGGCUCGUAGGCGGCCAACUAAGUCAGACGUGAAAGCCCUCGGCUCAACCGAGGAAUUGCGCUCAAAACUACUGAGCUUGAGGGAGAUAGGGGAGAGCGGAACUGAUGGUGGAGCGGUGAAAUGCGUUGAUAUCAUCAGGAACACCGGUGGCGAAGGCGGCUCUCUGGAUCUCUUCUGACGCUGAGGCACGAAAGCUAGGGGAGCAAACGGG
This 253-nucleotide ribosomal RNA is filed under the name uncultured bacterium. RNAcentral describes it as "partial 16S ribosomal RNA". It matches the Rfam family "Bacterial small subunit ribosomal RNA", at positions 524 to 776 of the family's 1533-position model. The record is from RNAcentral.